This 494-nucleotide ribosomal RNA is filed under the name uncultured bacterium. RNAcentral's name for it is "partial 16S ribosomal RNA". It matches the Rfam family "Bacterial small subunit ribosomal RNA", at positions 28 to 507 of the family's 1533-position model. The record is from RNAcentral.
GACGAACGCUGGCGGCGUGCUUAACACAUGCAAGUCGAACGGUGAAGCGCCUUCCUUUUUGGUGGGUGUGGAUGAGUGGCGAACGGGUGAGUAACACGUGAGUAACCUGCCCCCUUCUUCUGGAUAACCGCAUGAAAGUGUGGCUAAUACGGGAUAUUCUGGGUCUGUCGCAUGAUGGGUCUGGGAAAGAUAUUGUUUCGGUGGGGGAUGGGCUCGCGGCCUAUCAGCUUGUUGGUGGGGUGAUGGCCUACCAAGGCGGUGACGGGUAGCCGGCCUGAGAGGGUGGACGGUCACACUGGGGCUGAGCCCCCGCCCAGCCUCCUACGGGAGGCAGCAGUGGGGCUUAUUGCACAAUGGGCGCCAGCCUGAUGCAGCGACGCCGCGUGAGGGAUGGAGGCCUUCGGGUUGUGAACCUCUUUCGCCAGUGAAGCAGGCCUGCCUCGUUUGUGGGUGGGUUGACGGUAGCUGGAUAAGAAGCGCCGGCUAACUACGUG